Ovis aries (sheep) is the source of this 72-nucleotide transfer RNA. It matches the Rfam family "tRNA". From Rfam's summary of the family: Transfer RNA (tRNA) molecules are approximately 80 nucleotides in length. Their secondary structure includes four short double-helical elements and three loops (D, anti-codon, and T loops). The record is from Rfam. NCBI's taxonomy places the organism in Eukaryota, Metazoa, Chordata, Mammalia, Artiodactyla, Bovidae.
UCCCUGGUGGCUUAGAUGGUAAAGAAUCUGCCUGCAAUGCAGGAGACCUGAGUUCAAUCUCUUGGUGGGGAA